This 254-nucleotide ribosomal RNA is filed under the name uncultured bacterium. Its description in RNAcentral is "partial 16S ribosomal RNA". It matches the Rfam family "Bacterial small subunit ribosomal RNA", at positions 524 to 776 of the family's 1533-position model. The record is from RNAcentral.
UACGUAGGGGGCAAGCGUUGUCCGGAUUUAUUGGGCGUAAAGAGCGUGUAGGCGGUUAGGUAGGUCCGUUGUGAAAACUCGAGGCUCAACCUCGAGACGCCGAUGGAAACCAUCUAACUAGAGUCCGGAAGAGGAGAGUGGAAUUCCUGGUGUAGCGGUGAAAUGCGCAGAUAUCAGGAAGAACGACCCGUGGCUAAGGCGGCUCUCUAGUACGGUACUGACGCUGAGACGCGAAAGCGUGGGGAGCGAACAGG